AGUGAUCAAAUUCAUCCCUGAACCAAAGAUCUGUCAACUAUCAAAAUUAACCAGUACCCACGAGUCCAAACCCAAACACACGAAGUUGCAAAAUUAAGAGAAGGAAAAUACCCCAAGUUCUUCAACAAGAACAAGACAAAUAAAACAAAGAAAAAUUAGAAGACCCGCGAGCUCGAAAACAAUCAAGAUGAUGCAAGACAAAGUGAAAUAUGGAAGUGGCAAAGACCCAGAUAAGGAAUCUUCAAGAGAUAACUAUUCUUCAAAAGUUCAGUGCCAAGAUAGGAAAAACUAAAUCACAAAAGAAGGAGAAAAUCGAAAACCCACAUGGAAUCCUAAUCGGUUUGGGUGGACUCGAAGUUGAUUCAAACGGAAGGGAGCCGCUGAAUGGAUGGUAGGAAUGGGGGAAGUGUUGUGGAAAGCAAAGAAGAAGACAAUUGGUUUUCUUUCUCUUUGGAACUGCAUUGGAAUGGGGUCCACAGUUAGAGCCUUACAGGGACCCAGCGAAAUUAAGAAGAUUUAGACGGUUGUGAUUGAGGCGGGCAGUCUAUUUUGGCGGAAAAAAGGCGUAGGCGGCAGCUUCACCAAAGAUUCUCAUCUGAGUGUUUUUAUAAAAAAUAGAGAAGAGAAGAGAAUCUCCACUCUCCAGUACAUGCUACUUUGCAU
RNAcentral lists this unclassified non-coding RNA (663 nucleotides) under Hevea brasiliensis (rubber tree). The record is from RNAcentral. Lineage: Eukaryota; Viridiplantae; Streptophyta; Magnoliopsida; Malpighiales; Euphorbiaceae.